Molecule: RNA transcript, 1793 nt
Organism: Mesitornis unicolor (brown roatelo)
Lineage: Eukaryota; Metazoa; Chordata; Aves; Mesitornithiformes; Mesitornithidae
Gene: G6PC2
Gene name: glucose-6-phosphatase, catalytic, 2
Exons: 7
Source: RefSeq, a predicted model, not a curated record
GCAGCCCUUAAUGAGGUAUACACGUUACUAAUGUCCAUCCUGCAGAGAAAUGAACUGUGAAAAAAUGCAAGCAAACAUGUUCCAACUGUUCAUACAGAGGAUUGCGUAAGUCACACACUGUGCUUCCACAAAACUUUCCCCACAAUUUGCUGCUGCUCAGCAUGUACUUCACUUGGUUUCCUCUAAUUAAAAUGUGCAAACAGAAAAGCUUUCCAGUGCUAACAGACUCAUGUGCUUUGCAGGCGAUUUAGAGCCACGUGUUCCAGGAAUGGCUGGGUACACCACACCGAUGCAAUAUAAAGCUCAAUCAAGUGGUUGGUACUAAAAUGAUAUGGGUGGCAGUCAUUGGUGAUUGGUUCAACCUCAUAUUUAAAUGGAUUUUAUUUGGCCAUCGCCCAUACUGGUGGGUGCAGGAAACAAUGAUUUAUCCCAAUCAGUCAAGCCCAUGCCUUGAACAGUUUCCUAUAACUUGUGAAACUGGACCAGGAAGCCCAUCUGGACAUGCCAUGGGAUCUUCCUGCGUCUGGUAUGUAAUGGUCACAGCAGCACUUAGCUACACAGUUAGGUGGAAAGAUAAAUCAGCAGUUACCCUUCACAGACUAACAUGGUCAUUCCUCUGGAGUAUUUUCUGGAUUAUCCAGAUCACUGUGUGCAUCUCAAGAGUAUUCAUAGCAACGCAUUUCCCUCAUCAAGUUAUUCUUGGAGUAUUUGCUGGCAUUCUCGUGGCAGAAGCAUUUGAGCAUACCCCUGCUAUUCAGACAGCAAGCCUGAGAAUGUACAUCAAGACAAACUUGUUUCUUUUCAUCUUUGCCCUUGGCUUUUACCUAGUCCUCAAGCUUCUUGAUAUCGACUUGCUGUGGUCUGUGCCCAAGGCCAAGAAGUGGUGUGCCAACCCAGACUGGAUAAACAUUGACACAACUCCAUUUGCUGGACUGGUGAGGAAUUUAGGUGCACUCUUUGGCUUAGGUCUCGGAAUUAAUUCUGAAAUGUUCAUCACGAGCUGCAAAGGUAAAAAUAGCUGUAAGAUAAGUUUCCGCAUAUUGUGUAUAGCUGCUUCUUUAGCUACACUGCAGCUGUAUAAUUUUGUUAAGAUACCUACUCAUACUGAGUAUUUGUUCUACAUUCUCUCUUUUUGUAAGAGUGCAGCUAUGCCUCUGACUGUAGUUGCCUUGGUUCCAUACUGUGUCCACUCAUUAAUGAGGACAACUGAGAAGAAACUUAAUUAGAUAAAGUUUCCAAACGGUUAGCAAUAUGGGGGUGGAUAUGAACUGUUCAAGAACCCUUCGCAAAGGCAGUUUUGCUAACUCAUUUUAACCAAGGGGAUGCCACUGCAUCUUUGAUGUGCUCCUGGUAAGUAACCGGUACAUCCAGAAUCAGUACACUCAAGAAUUACUUUGGCAGCUCAGAAAUAUUAAUUGCUGAUGUUAUUCCUAGAAAUACUGCAACCACACUGCAGUAUGGUUAGAAAUGACCCAAUACUCCGGGUCAUACUGAAGUUUUAAAGUAUAAUCAACUAGUUUUAUUUAGCUACUUGGUAGUCUUUUAGCUCUGUCCAUCUCCAGCUAGAUGGUGCUUCAAGCCUCAGUUGUACAUAGUGAUACUUAAUAUUUAAUUUUUUAUGUAGAUAGUGUGUGUUUAACUGCUAGAUAAUGGUGUGACUAUCACACCACCUACAACUGUACAGCUCUACCUAGGCACUGUGAAAAAGGCUUUAGAUUUAACUUAUUGAGCUUCCUGAGCAAAACAGCUUCUGAUUAAGCCAGAUGAGAAAAAAAAAUAAAAAAGCAAAUUUG